Molecule: ribosomal RNA, 254 nt
Filed under: uncultured prokaryote
Description: partial 16S ribosomal RNA
Rfam family: Bacterial small subunit ribosomal RNA
Source: RNAcentral
UACGGAGGAUGCGAGCGUUAUCCGGAUUUAUUGGGUUUAAAGGGUGCGUAGGCGGCUUUUUAAGUCAGCGGUGAAAUUUUGCAGCUUAACUGUAACAGUGCCGUUGAUACUGGGGAGCUAGGAUUUGGUUGCUGUGGGUGGAAUGUGUGGUGUAGCUGUGAAAUGCUUAGAGAUCACACAGAAUAUCGAUUGCGAAGGCAGCUCACAAAGCCAAGAUUGACGCUGAGGCACGAAAGUGUGGGGAUCAAACAGGA